AUUGAACGCUGGCGGCAUGCCUUACACAUGCAAGUCGAACGGUAACAGGUUAAGCUGACGAGUGGCGAACGGGUGAGUAAUGUAUCGGAACGUGCCCAGUCGUGGGGGAUAACUGCUCGAAAGAGCAGCUAAUACCGCAUACGACCUGAGGGUGAAAGCGGGGGAUCGCAAGCCCUCGCGCGAUUGGAGCGGCCGAUAUCAGAUUAGGUAGUUGGUGAGGUAAAGGCUCACCAAGCCGACGAUCUGUAGCUGGUCUGAGAGGACGACCAGCCACACUGGGACUGAGACACGGCCCAGACUCCUACGGGAGGCAGCAGUGGGGAAUUUUGGACAAUGGGCGCAAGCCUGAGCCAGCCAUGCCGCGUGCGGGAAGAAGGCCUUCGGGUUGUAAACCGCUUUUGUCAGGGAAGAAAAGGUUCUGGCUAAUACCUGGGACUCAUGACGGUACCUGAAGAAUAAGCACCGGCUAACUACGU
Molecule: ribosomal RNA, 476 nt
Filed under: uncultured bacterium
Lineage: Bacteria
Description: partial 16S ribosomal RNA
Rfam family: Bacterial small subunit ribosomal RNA
Source: RNAcentral